GAUCGGUCGCGGGGGUGCUUGCGGUGAGGCAGGCUGAGAUUCCUCUCGGAAGGAGAAACCCUUGGAACCUGUCCGGAUAAUACCGGCGAAGGGAAGCGGCGCGAAGUCGACC
This 112-nucleotide non-coding RNA is filed under the name Verrucomicrobiota bacterium. RNAcentral describes it as "Verrucomicrobia bacterium TPP sequence". It matches the Rfam family "TPP riboswitch aptamer (THI element)". From Rfam's summary of the family: Vitamin B(1) in its active form thiamin pyrophosphate (TPP) is an essential coenzyme that is synthesised by coupling of pyrimidine and thiazole moieties in bacteria. The previously detected thiamin-regulatory element, thi box was extended, resulting in a new, highly conserved RNA secondary structure, the THI element, which is widely distributed in eubacteria and also occurs in some archaea. Analysis of operon structures identified a large number of new candidate thiamin-regulated genes, mostly transporters, in various prokaryotic organisms. Lineage: Bacteria; Pseudomonadati; Verrucomicrobiota. The record is from RNAcentral.